UACGAAGGGGGCGAGCGUUGUUCGGAUUUACUGGGCGUAAAGGGCGCGUAGGCGGCGGGUCAAGUCGAGUGUGAAAGCCCCGGGCUCAACCUGGGAAUUGCGCGCGAGACGGGGGGGCUUGAGUUCGGGAGAGGAGCGUGGAAUUCCCAGUGUAGAGGUGAAAUUCGUAGAUAUUCGCAAGAACACCAGUGGCGAAGGCGGCUCACUGGCCCGGAACUGACGCUGAGACGCGAAAGCGUGGGGAGCAAACAGG
RNAcentral lists this ribosomal RNA (253 nucleotides) under uncultured bacterium. RNAcentral's name for it is "partial 16S ribosomal RNA". It matches the Rfam family "Bacterial small subunit ribosomal RNA", at positions 524 to 776 of the family's 1533-position model. The record is from RNAcentral.